GUUCUUGAAAUUUAAAAAAUUUGGCGGUAUUUUAGUCUUUUUAGAGGAACAUGCCCUGUAAUUGAUAAUCCACGAUUAAUUGUACUUAAAUUAAUAGUUUAUAUAUCGUCGUAGUUGAAUACCUUAUGAGAGAGAAGUGUUCAAUAUUUAUAAUAUAAUAAAUAAAAUCAGAUCAAGAUAUAGCUUAUAUUUAAGAAGAGGUGUGUUACAUUAAAAAUAUUUAUGGUUAUAUUAAUUAAAAUUAUUAUAUAAAUUGGAUUUAAAAGUAAUAUAUUUAAGUUAAAAUAUAUGAUUUAAGCUCUGAAAUAUGCACAUAUCGCCCGUCGCUUCCAAUGAAUUUUAAAUUGGAAUAAGUCGUAACAUAGUAGGUGUACCGGAAGGUGUACCUAGUUUGACGAAUUAAAGCUUUAUAAAAGUAUUUUAUUUACAUUAAAAAGAUAUUUGUGAAAUUCAAAUUAAUUUGAAUUUAUAAAUUUAUUAUUUGAAAAUUGAUUAUAUAAAAUUUUAAAAAAAAUAUUUUUUAGUUUAUUUAUUAAUUAAGAUAAAAUUAUUAUUAUUAUAGUUUAUUAGUAUAGUGAUAGAAUAUUGAAAAAGUGAAAAAUAAAAUUUUGAAAAGAAAAAUUUAAUUUUUGUACCUUGUGUAUCAGGGUUUAUUAAAUAUUGAUUAUUAAAUAUUAAUUUUCUCGAAUUUAAAAGAGUUAAGAAAUUAUAAAUUUUAUUGUGAAAUAACUAUUUAAAAUAAUUUUUUAGUAAUGAAACGUUAUUCGUUUUUAAAUUUAUCUAGUUUUUUAAGAAAUAAAUUUAAUUUAGUUAUUUAUUUUAAUAUAAAUAAUUUUAUUAUUUAAUAUUAAUAUAAUUAAUUAAUAUUUUAAGGGAUAAGCUUUAAAGUAAAAUUUUAAAAAUAAAUAUAAUAAAAUAAUAUAAAUUAAUAGGAUUAGAAUUUUUUAUUUUUAAUAAUAUGUUAUAAUAAAUUUAUAUUAAAAUUUAAUUUUUAUAUAAUUUUAAAUUAUUUAUUAAAAUUAUUUAUUUAAUUUAAUAUUAGAUGAAAUAAUGAUAAAAUUAGUAUAAAUUUAAUGUAUAUUUAAUUUAAUUUAGUUAAGGUUAAAUUAAGGAAUUCGGCAAAAAAUUUUUUCUGCCUGUUUAUUAAAAACAUGUCUUUUUGAUUAUAAUUUAAAGUCUAACCUGCCCUAUGAAUAAUUUAAAUGGCCGCGGUAUUUUGACCGUGCAAAGGUAGCAUAAUCAUUAGUUUUUUAAUUAAGAACUGGAAUGAAUGGUUGGACAAGAAAAAUACUGUCUCAAUUUAAUUUAAAUUAGAAUUUUAUUUUUAAGUUAAAAAGCUUAAAUGAUAUUAAAAGACGAGAAGACCCUAUAGAGUUUUAUAUUAUUAAUAUUAUUUAAAUUUUAAGAAUUUAAAUAUUUAUAUUAUUAUUAUUAUUUAAUUGGGGUGAUUAAAAAAUUAAAUAAACUUUUUUUAUAUAAUAACAU
This 1485-nucleotide ribosomal RNA is filed under the name Lepanus monteithi. RNAcentral describes it as "partial large subunit ribosomal RNA". The record is from RNAcentral. Lineage: Eukaryota; Metazoa; Arthropoda; Insecta; Coleoptera; Scarabaeidae.